UAGACCCCAGGUCCUUCUGCUUCCCAGGCCCAUGCUCUAUCCACUAAGCCACACUGCUUCUCAGCACUUAGCCAAGUGAACGUCCUACUUUCCAUCACCCACAUUCACCAGCUGUAGGAAAGCCAGGAUCAGAAUUUAGGUCUCCCGAUUCCCAGAGCAGGACUGAUUCUAUUGGAUCCAAAGCAGGACACUAGUCAUUGCCUUGGGCGGUAGGUAUUUUAAAGGGCCCUUGAAAGGUCUCGACUCAUUUGCAAGUUAAGUAGCUCUUGUAAGAAGCAUACAGUAACCUGUGAUGACCUCAGUGCAUUUGCUAUCAUUUUAAGGCAAGAAGUAGUAACGGGCCGAGUAGUUACUAGCACAUCGUACAUGCCACUGAGGUAAUAGUUGAUCAUGACUUUUCUCAAAACACAGCUUUCAUUUCAGGAAUGUUUACUGUGAGUAAACUGAAAUGUAUUUUUAGGUGAGGUUAUGUUUGUUGACAAGGCACUGUUCUGAGAAAUUAAGUGCAUUCAUGAAUUUUUUUUUAAUUUUUAAAUGCAAGUGAGCUAGUAUAUCCAAUCUCAUGUUUACAAACCUAUAAUUAAGCCCCAGUUGCUUCUUUCAAUCUAAUUUGUUUUUCUUUCUAUUGUUCAAAAAUGGUUUGUUUUUCACUCCCAGCAAAAUGAAUGCGCGAUUGCUCUUCAUUCAUUCAAUCGACUUCAAACAAUAGGGGCCCAGCCUUCAAAGGAAACACAGCAGAGUAAUGUGCUAACUAAUGCUAGUAAGGCCAUAACAAACUUUAGUGAAAAAUGUCCUCAGCCUGGUAGUGAGACUGUUCAGACUCCUGUGGAGGUGGAACUGAGGUUAAGAGUCUGCAAAGGAAGUAGGAAACUUAACCUAGCAUCCCCUCCUGCCUGGGAAAUGUAUUUCCUGGAAGGGAGGGGCCUCUCUUUCCAGAAUCACCUGUGGAUGAUUGCUUGUCAGACAGCGGCGUGCAGCCUUUUAAAUUCAAGAGUUAGAUACCCUGCUUUCUUCUCUCUCUCGGGACAUAGUGAGUGUUCUGGCCCGUUUCUGUUUGAGACAUUGGUCCAGAAGUUUCACUGAAGGUGUUGGAAGAUCUAUUUUCCAUAAGAAAUAGCUGCUGUCUAUAGGACCAAGAUGGCUUAUUCAGCUGAGAUACGGCUGGGAGCACGGUAUGGAAGCAGCCAGCCAUCUAUUCAAGUGCAAGGCAGUAGGGAGAUAAUGAAAUUGGACCCAGCACUCUGAAGCACAGACGGUAACUGCAGUGUGGAGCAGCACACCCACAGAGACACACACAGAAGCUACAAUAACACUUGUGACAUCACCCAGACCUUCCUCUUCUGUCUGCAGCGGGUGGCAGCUGCUCGGUUCCUUUCCAGAAAUUUCCGCCGCCUCUCAUCUGGGUCCUCGUCCACUACCCUUCUCCGGCGUCCCCCGGUUCAAGGGGUCCCUGAAUCGGCUAGCUGAGCUCACUGCUUCUGCCUCAGCACAGCCCACCACUCUGGACAUCAAAGUUCUCUACCCUCCAUGCCCUCACCCUCUCUCCGUGAUGCAAACACCGCACCUCGUGAGACUUCUCAGUUCUGUUAUUUAUGUCUGGACAUCUAAUGCUUUCCUAAUAUAUUGCUUUGAAUGAAGAAAAGGGUAGAGGAGAGAAGAAGUUUUUUUUCCCCAUUUCUCCAUCACCAGGUUUAUAUACUAUAAAGCUGCUUUUAUGGGGACACUUAACUUGCAGGAGCAGCAGGCAAAAUACUUUAGAAGCAAAACUCAAUUUCCCAUUUCUAACCUGUCUCAACAUUUUGGUCAGGAUCAAUCAGAAUGUCUUUAAUUAUGUUAAUUGUGGUUGCCGAUUCACUUUAUAAGGGGUGGUAUACUAAAGAUGUAUUUCAACCUUAAACUCUAUCCAAUUUUAUGUGGACGACUGGACAGUAAUUAGUCUCCAAGUGGUAUUUUACAGGUGAUUGUAAGUGGGUGUGAUUUCUUUUAUUUAAAGCUAAGGGCUUUCUUCACUCAUGUAAGAAAACAAAAUUAAUGGUCCAACGCACUACUAGAACUUAGUCGUCAGUGUGGCUGGUGAGGUAGGAACCCGUUUCAGUGGGAAAGAUUUAGCAGUUGUCACUUUAGAUGCCUAGUACUUGAGCCAAACCAACUAUUCCAAAGCAAAACAUCAGUUUCGCCAGAAGAGAACAAACUGAACUGCUCUUUUUUUUUUUUUUUUGCCUCCAUACAGUACAUUUUGCAAAAUAAAUUAUGGUCUUAUAUGUGCACAUUCAGCACCUCGCAAAGCCUUGAGAAACUAACUGCAGACACAAACCCGAAUCAGCUCCCCAGAUCUUAUUAGUCCACAUUUUAGUCCUUACAUCUAAACGCUCAGCUGCUGCCCACAAUUUUGAAAUCCAUCUGAUUCUGCUGGGCCACAGGAAUGAACACACAUAUACUGAUUAACCCUAAGGGGAAAGAGAAAGCGUCCUGGAGCAUCUCCAUUCCUUGCUUGAGAAGCUUUGGGCUAGAAACGUUUAGCAGCUCAGCAGAGUGAGAAUACUUGUGGGUAACCACACACAGUAUGGGGAACCGACUUACCCUGCCCCUUCCCCUGAAACCUACCCAGAGGGUAACAGCAAGGAGGAUUAUGAAUGAACGUGGAAGGGAAAUAACUUCACAUUUUGGUCCAAGACAACUGAGACUCUUGUCCCCAUACAUGGCUUUUCCAGGGCUUUGGGCAAUUCUGAAGGGUAUCAGAAAAAUGUUGUUUUCUCCUCCAAAGAGAAUCAUUGUGCCUAUAGGUAAGUUAAUACUACUUAACCGGUCUUUUUCAGAGUUCCAAAGGCAUCCGAGCUAUGGGGCUAGGGCCCCAGGGUUGAAGACUAGAAAUUAAGUCUAUUCUAGAAGCCCAGGGAAGUUGGCUUCCUCUGAUGACAGGAGGGUCGGUGUGCCACUAAUGACUUCUGAAUCAAGUGGGAAAUUUCAUUCAAAAUCUAAGCAAAUGAAAACAAAGGCCAUUGAAUGGGAUCAGACCUCCAAUCUCCUAACCCACUUUUCUAAUGGUCAUGGCGAAUCUUCAGCCAAUUUGUAUUUUAAAGAUAAGGCAUUUGCAUCAAUGGAGAGAAAAACUCAUAUUGGCUAAGGAGAUAAAUGAAAUAGGAUAUGACAGGUUCUUACUAAGUGGUCCAGUUAAUAAUGUAAGAGUUAUAUUUUGGGAUGUCUUCCAAAUCAUCUUACUGGUCAAAUUUUCAAAAGACCUUUGCCCAGAGUCCUUUUAUUUGUGCAGGUGCAAAAAAUUCUGCAUGCAACUAAUUGUACUAGCAAUUAGCUAAUUGCAUAUACAAUUGGCCACUUACUUUCCCCUUUAAAAUACAGGGCAAUUGGCUAAUGGCUAAUUAGUUAAUGAACCUUCUUUACUAUUCAAAGAACUGUUAGAACUGUUAAAUUUGUUUGUGAAAUGUCUGCUCCCAAAACCACCAUUUUCCACUUAUUUUAAAAAAUCUUAAUUUUGUCUCAUAUUAGUCAUGAUAUUCCUGACUUUGCUUUAGUCUGAAUUCAAUCCUUUAGCCAGAAAUCAUGAUUUAUCCUUUAUCUCCAACUUGCAUUUUUUUUCCACUAGCUGUAAUGCUGGUCAGACUUGACACUUUACCUUGGCAUCUGCUAACUUGUGAUGCUUUCAACACUUCCCAUUGGAAGUACAGAUUUGGUCUUCCCAGCUUCUACCCUUUAAAAACAGUGGCUAAGUUUUAUCCAGUAUGUCCCUAGUCAAGCCAACAAGCAACAGAACCAGCCACUUGCUAGAGACAUUGUUUUAGGAUGUCCCUGUAAGUUUUGAGAGUAGAAUGGGGAGAAGAUCAAAGAAUCAAAAGCUCUUCUAGGAUCCAGGGUGGAGCAGUGAAUGCCAGACCAACAUUUUUUACCAGACUUCCAGACCAUCACCAGUAUCCCCCAGCCAAGUCAGACCUAGAAAUGGGAUGAAUGAGGUUUGGCAUUAAAAACCUUUUUGGGACACAAAAUGGUUAGGGCUGGUUAUGGCCCAGCACUUUUCCUGAUUCCCUCUUCAUUCUGAAUCUAAUUAAGAAGAGCCUGUUAGCUUUUAAAGUAUACCAUGGAUGGCAUGGAUCAAUCACCCUGCCCAAUUUACUGUCUGUGAUUGGGUCACAUGUCUACCUUGUUCCCUUCUUCCCCUCUUGGGUUAAGCUUGAAUUGUGGCUUUUCCCAUUCUCACAGAUCUGCAAUAGGAGGUUAAUCUUUCACCAGACUGUCUCAUUGUCAAGAUUCUCUCUCUCUCUCUCUCACACACACACACAUUCUCACUCUCUUCCCUUUCUGGCCUUUAGAUUUUUAGUGUUCAUUGGUAUGAUGUAUCUGCUCAAUUUUACUUACUUACUUAAUUGUACUUACUUACAAUUUGUUUGUUUUUUUUUACUUCCUGAACCCAAUUCUCCACGUGCACUGUGGUCUUUAAAUUCCCUCUGUCCCUAGAGAGCACUCAUUUCUGACUCCCAGUUACUGAUCUAAUUCAGAAAACCCACCCUGUUGGGGUUACCAUGAGGGCUAACUCAAUAGCAUACUUGA
Ornithorhynchus anatinus (platypus) is the source of this 4560-nucleotide long non-coding RNA. RefSeq lists it as uncharacterized. Lineage: Eukaryota; Metazoa; Chordata; Mammalia; Monotremata; Ornithorhynchidae. The transcript is spliced from 5 exons. The record is from RefSeq and is a predicted model, not a curated record.